UCCCUGGUUGAUCCUGCCAGUAGUCAUAUGCUUGUCUCAAAGAUUAAGCCAUUGCAUGUCUCAGUACAAGCCGCAUUAAGGUGAAACCGCGAAUGGCUCAUUAAAUCAGUUAUGGUUCCUUAGAUCGUACCCACGUUACUUGGAUAACAUGUGGUAAUUCUAGAGCUAAUACAUGCAAACAGAGUCCCGACCAGAGAUGGAAGGGACGCUUUUAUUAGAUCAAAACCAAUCGGUCGGCUCGUCCGGUCCGUUUGCCUUGGUGACUCUGAAUAACUUUGGGCUGGAUCGCACGGUCCUCGUACCGGCGCGCAUCUUUCAAAUGUCUGCCUUAUCAACUGUCGAUGGUAGGUUUCUGCGCCUACCAUGGUUGUAACGGGUAACGGGGAAUCAGGGUUCGAUUCCGGAGAGGGAGCCUGAGAAACGGCUACCACAUCCAAGGAAGGCAGCAGGCGCGCAAAUUACCCACUCCCGGCACGGGGAGGUAGUGACGAAAAAUAACGAUACGGGACUCAUCGAGGCCCCCGUAAUCGGAAUGAGUACACUUUAAAUCCUUUAACGAGUAUCUAUUGGAGGGCAAGUCUGGUGCCAGCAGCCGCGGUAAUUCCAGCUCCAAUAGCGUAUAUUAAAGUUGUUGCGGUUAAAAAGCCUCGUAGUUGGAUUUGUGUCCCACGCUGUUGGUUCACCGCCCGUCGGUGUUUAACUGGCAUGUAUCGUGGGACGUCCUGCCGGUGGGGCGAGCUGAAGGCGUGCGACCGCCUCGUGCGUGCUCGUGCGUCCCGAGGCGGACCCCGUUGAAAUCCUACCAGGGUGCUCUUUAUUGAGUGUCUCGGUGGGCCGGCACGUUUACUUUGAACAAAUUAGAGUGCUUAAAGCAGGCAAGCCCGCCUGAAUACUGUGUGCAUGGAAUAAUGGAAUAGGACCUCGGUUCAUAUUUUGUUGGUUUUCGGAACCCGAGGUAAUGAUUAAUAGGGACAGGCGGGGGCAUUCGUAUUGCGACGUUAGAGGUGAAAUUCUUGGAUCGUCGCAAGACGAACAGAAGCGAAAGCAUUUGCCAAGUAUGUUUUCAUUAAUCAAGAACGAAAGUUAGAGGUUCGAAGGCGAUCAGAUACGCCGCAGUUCCUCCGAUGACUCGGCGGGCAGCCUCCGGGAAACCAAAGCUUUUGGGUUCCGGGGGAAGUAUGGUUGCAAAGCUGAAACUUAAAGGAAUUGACGGAAGGGCACCACCAGGAGUGGAGCCUGCGGCUUAAUUUGACUCAACACGGGAAACCUCACCAGGCCCGGACACCGGAAGGAUUGACAGAUUGAUAGCUCUUUCUUGAUUCGGUGGGUGGUGGUGCAUGGCCGUUCUUAGUUGGUGGAGCGAUUUGUCUGGUUAAUUCCGAUAACGAACGAGACUCUAGCCUGCUAACUAGUCGCGUGACAUCCUUCGUGCUGUCAGCGAUUACUUUUCUUCUUAGAGGGACAGGCGGCUUCUAGCCGCACGAGAUUGAGCAAUAACAGGUCUGUGAUGCCCUUAGAUGUUCUGGGCCGCACGCGCGCUACACUGAAGGAAUCAGCGUGUCUUCCUAGGCCGAAAGGUCGGGGUAACCCGCUGAACCUCCUUCGUGCUAGGGAUUGGGGCUUGCAAUUGUUCCCCAUGAACGAGGAAUUCCCAGUAAGCGCGAGUCAUAAGCUCGCGUUGAUUACGUCCCUGCCCUUUGUACACACCGCCCGUCGCUACUACCGAUUGAAUGAUUUAGUGAGGUCUUCGGACUGGUACGCGGCAUUGACUCUGUCGUUGCCGAUGCUACCGGAAAGAUGACCAAACUUGAUCAUUUAGAGGAAGUAAAAGUCGUAACAAGGUUUCCGUAGGUGAACCUGCGGAAGGAUCAUUA
Schistocerca piceifrons (Central American locust) is the source of this 1874-nucleotide ribosomal RNA. The record is from RefSeq and is a predicted model, not a curated record. NCBI's taxonomy places the organism in Eukaryota, Metazoa, Arthropoda, Insecta, Orthoptera, Acrididae.